GGUGCUGGGAGUAGGGCGCAAGAUGUCGGCGGAUGCAGCUCCGAGGAGGUAGGCAGUGGGAGCCGGCGUUCAGUCCGGCCCGUGCCAACAGUGGUUCCUCUCUCCCCCGUAGUUCGAGGAGACCACGCGCUGCCCCUCUGGCACGAUCGUGGAUGAACCCCCUGGCAACUGAAAUGGGAAAGGCAGCGCCCCCGACUCUGGGGACUGGACCGAAGUCCACGGUAGUGACAGCUGCCAGACCCUGAGGAGAGGACGAGAAGACCCGAGGCCUCUGCUACGAACACUGGCAGCCGAUGGAAAAUUCAGACGGAUUUGGGACAGUAUGCAGAGUUCUCCAAGCGACAGAUUAACAGAGGCUCUUGAAGAAUAACUGCGUAAUCACGUGUUCUGCUCAAAAGAAGGCCUGAAUGCCCAGUGCCUUAUUUGGCUUUCAGGGUUGGUGAAAGAAAAAGCAAAGUAGAUGCUUUCUAAUGCUAAGUCAUUUAAUGUAGCACCAUUCCUUGAACUUCUUUCAUCUCUAAGGUCGUCCCUUUCACCUGAUGAUGACCUUUGGGCCAUCGUACAGGCAUGUGUAAACUUGGAGAUCUUCCUCAACAUUGCACCAUAUCUUGGGUUCAUUCAAGGCAGAGUCUCCUUGCAAAAGCAUUCUAAAACAAUGUAAAGUCGAAGAGAGUAGAGCAAUACCUCCAUAGUUGGAAAAUGUGGAGGAGGCCAAUUAAGGGACAGAAAAAGAAGUGCAGAGAAUCUUGGAAUUGUUGCAAAAUUAUUCUGGAGAUAUUUCUAAGUCUCCUCUAUCCUUUUCCUUAGUGAUUAAUACAGGUUUUUAUAUUAAGUGGACAGUAAAAUCCAAACAGAAAGAGUUUCCCCAUGUGUAUGCUGUGGUAUUGGAUCAGCAACGAGAUAAGAAGAUCUCUCCCAUUUCCAAGCGUCUAUGAUGAUUCUGAGGCACAAGGUCACAUUUGACAGUACUAGGAAACCCAGGAAACAAGAAGCAAAGAUGACAAAGGCUGUGUCUGCCUGGGCAGACGAUCUAUUUGGACAAGAUAAUAGACCCAGGCAUGGACAUGCUCUCCAAGAAAGAUGCCCUGACAGCUGCUCACACUGAAGCUGAAUCGAACAUUCCAAUCCUUAGAGGUUCCAGCGAAGAUCUUGAAGUCUCCCUGAGCCAUUGACACAAUGGCCAUGCCAUCCCAGUGAUAAAACACAAAUUGUGGCCUUGUUUUGGACAGAAAUAAAGAGCCCAGUUUGUUAGUGAUUUACUGAUAAUAACUGAAUCGAGUACUAAUACUUGGCGAUUUUAAAAGCCAUCAUGUUAAAAAGACCACCUGAUUCCCAGUGACCCUGCAGUGACUGGGUUUGGGCAGCUCGUCCCCUGCACCUGUUUGGGGCUGUGCCAGCCACUUCCAGUGAGAACAUCGCAUUAACUUGCGGUCGCAGACCUGGCUGGACCCCUUGAACCAAAUUCCUUUCUGACCUUAUCAGACCCCAAAUAAAAGAGCUCACCAGGCCCCUCAGCCUACGUGACCCACCUGCCCAGUGAAAAAAGUAGGGCCCUGUUCUGUUCUCUGAGGAUGGUCAGUGUGCUCUUUGAUGAAAACGGUUUCUAAGCUGAGGCCUGAGACCUAGAUCAUUGUUCUCACAGCGUGUGCUUGACCAGCCACACCAGAAGCACCCAGGCUGCUGGCUAAAAACACUGAUGCUGGGGCCCACCCUAGCCCCUGGGUAGGGGGUAGAGACCUAAGGUUUGGCAUUUUUACAAGCUCCUAGGGUGAUUCUUAGAUGCCCUGAUGAUUGAGAACCACUGCUCGAGCUUCUUAAAUGGCUGCUGAAGAAUGAUUCUUGCCAACCGUGACCAGUUCAGCAGCCUGCAGACAGAAACCUGUCACUUUGAUCAGGACGGAAAUGAAAGGAGGCAGAGCGCGCCUGCAUCGCAAUC
This 1936-nucleotide long non-coding RNA is filed under the name Homo sapiens (human). Its description in RNAcentral is "non-protein coding TMEM44-AS1:18". Lineage: Eukaryota; Metazoa; Chordata; Mammalia; Primates; Hominidae. The record is from RNAcentral.